UCAAAAGGAUGUGGGGCUGACCUCUCUGA
This 29-nucleotide non-coding RNA is filed under the name Mus musculus (house mouse). The record is from RNAcentral. Lineage: Eukaryota; Metazoa; Chordata; Mammalia; Rodentia; Muridae.